This 474-nucleotide ribosomal RNA is filed under the name uncultured bacterium. RNAcentral's name for it is "partial 16S ribosomal RNA". It matches the Rfam family "Bacterial small subunit ribosomal RNA", at positions 840 to 1312 of the family's 1533-position model. The record is from RNAcentral.
UCUGUGCCGGAGUUAACGCAAUAAGUACCCCGCCUGGGGAGUACGACCGCAAGGUUGAAACUCAAAGGAAUUGACGGGGGCCCGCACAAGCGGUGGAGUAUGUGGUUUAAUUCGACGCAACGCGAAGANCCUUACCAGGUCUUGACAUUGAUGGACAGAACUAGAGAUAGUUCCUCUUCUUCGGAAGCCAGAAAACAGGUGGUGCACGGUUGUCGUCAGCUCGUGUCGUGAGAUGUUGGGUUAAGUCNNNNNNNNNNNCGCAACCCCUAUCUUAUGUUGCCAGCACUUCGGGUGGGAACUCAUGAGAGACUGCCGCAGACAAUGCGGAGGAAGGCGGGGAUGACGUCAAAUCAUCAUGCCCCUUAUGACCUGGGCUACACACGUACUACAAUGGGAGUUAAUAGACGGAAGCAAAACCGCGAGGUGGAGCAAACCCGAGAAACACUCUCUCAGUUCGGAUCGUAGGCUGCAACU